Molecule: long non-coding RNA, 551 nt
Filed under: Brassica napus (rape)
Lineage: Eukaryota; Viridiplantae; Streptophyta; Magnoliopsida; Brassicales; Brassicaceae
Description: long non-coding RNA (BNAP_LNC020701)
Source: RNAcentral
GCCAUCUCUCCAUCUUCUAGGUAUUAGGCCGGGCCUGGUUAAUGGCAAUCCACUCUAUGAUUUAUAACAUUGCACUAUAACAUUGCAUUAAAAAAUAUGAUUAUAUUCUAGUUAGACCAAGAGCAACGAGGGUGUUAAACUUUUGUUUUCAACUGUGUAAUUAAUGCAGUGAGCCUAUUGAAUUUUGUAAAAAUACAUAUGGAAUUAACUUAGUUGAAUAUAUUCAACCAAUUGAAAGAAAAUGAGAUUGGUCCAAACCCGCCACAUGGCAAACUAUAAGAAGAGAAAAAGUUGGCACUCACCCACAUCAUAUGUUUUUUAUUGGUUGGCAAAUUUGUGUAUUUUUUUAUUUCCACCAAAUUAUUGAAUAUUAAUUAUUUUGUGUUAAACUAUUUUAAAAAAACACAAACUACACAAAAAAUUAUAUAUUUUUUAUUAUCUAGUUAUAGAGUCUAGACUUAUUUGUUUGGAUAUAAAAACAUCAUUUUAAUACAAUUUUCUGAUUAACUUUUAACCAAUUUCGUGUAUUUAAACUUUUGUGUUGAAUAUAU